This 245-nucleotide long non-coding RNA is filed under the name Arabidopsis lyrata. RNAcentral's name for it is "long non-coding RNA (ALYR_LNC002015)". Lineage: Eukaryota; Viridiplantae; Streptophyta; Magnoliopsida; Brassicales; Brassicaceae. The record is from RNAcentral.
GGAUGUGGCAAUCCUUAACUCUUGAGCUAGCUUUUGGGUUAAGUUAGGCCACAUUCCUAAUAUGGUAUCAGAGCCCAAGGUUGGCCCAACAAGCAAAUUCCCACAAAAAUGGUUUCCCACCUAUGUGGCCCAUAUAAGUGGCAUGUCUUGUUGUAUUUCCGAGAUGUUGGGCUUGGGCUGUUUCCCGUUGGACCGUUUCCCACCCACAUCUCGAGGAGGCCUAUUAGAAUGUCCCACAUUGCUUG